This 105-nucleotide ribosomal RNA is filed under the name Wolbachia endosymbiont of Drosophila subpulchrella. RNAcentral's name for it is "partial 23S ribosomal RNA". It matches the Rfam family "Bacterial large subunit ribosomal RNA", at positions 2819 to 2925 of the family's 2925-position model. The record is from RNAcentral. Lineage: Bacteria; Pseudomonadati; Pseudomonadota; Alphaproteobacteria; Rickettsiales; Anaplasmataceae.
UAGAUCUCCCUGAGGGUCGUGGUAGACCACCACGUUAAUAGGCCAGAUGUGAAAGCGUGGUAACACGUGCAGCUAACUGGUCCUAAUCACCCAAUAGGCUCACUC